This is a long non-coding RNA of Carassius auratus (goldfish), 1799 nucleotides long. RefSeq lists it as uncharacterized. The transcript has 3 exons. The record is from RefSeq and is a predicted model, not a curated record. NCBI's taxonomy places the organism in Eukaryota, Metazoa, Chordata, Actinopteri, Cypriniformes, Cyprinidae.
GCCUUUUUAACAGGGAGACUCAACUGUAAAGGGCUGCAGACAGAAGCUCAGCUGUGGAACAUGAACUGACGCCUUUACUGGAACUAAUCUUGAUUUAGCAGUUUUCUGAUUCGGAUACAACACCGGAUUAUUCUAUAAUCUUUAAGGAGACAUGACUAAGUGACUAAAGGAGCGAUCUGCAGAUGAAAGACAAGAAGUUAAAACCUAAAGAACCAGGAGAGGAAAAGACGCUGAUGUUAGUCAGAAGAAACAGCUUUCUUUACUUCAAACCAAACUUUUCUCAAGAUGUUCCAGAAAAAGUGUCCGACUCUCACACAUCAUCAUCUCCAGCAGCUGAUUCCUGAUCUUCAGAUCGAGUUCAGUUUUCUGAAGAUCAACACAAAUCUGAUCAGCUUGAUCCUGAUGAGGACACAUUUCUCUCCUGAUGGGAGUGUUGUCCUCCAGGAUGAGGACACGAGGAUCACUGAAGGGUUCAGUCUCCAGAUCUAAACUCAUUUAAACAGCUGAGAGAUUGAUGAAGACAGCGCUCUGCGUCUCCAUCAAAACACCAAACCAGGAACAUCUUUAGGAAGAAGGAACGGUGAACGAGAAUGUUCUGGAAAGUGGUUCUGUGUCUCUGUGAUGCUGUAUCUAUCACACAACCUUGUUUACUUACAGACCGCAGGCCAGUGUAAUGCACAAGAAUGUAUUUUUAUACAGGUUCAUGUUUAUUUGAAUCACUGGUUACUGUAUGUACUGUACUGCUGUAUGAUAUUGGAUGUAAUAUACCGUUGAAAACAUGAAGUCAUGAGAUAUAAAGCUUUAAUGCAGUCAUUAUCAAACAGCUAAACUGUACACUUUUAAUGUCUCCUUAAAGUCUGAUACAUGCUUUUGAAGUUGGGGAGUAAACUAGAAAUGAAUUAUUUAUAUCAAUAAGUCUGUACUACUCCAGGAAAUAAAACCAUUUCACACUUGUAAAAAUAAACACAAGAAGAAAAAAGUGUUUGUUGUGAUGAAGUAGUUUAUUGUUCAGUGGAUAAACAACAGCAAGAGUAAGAAAUGUGUUCAGACUGAACAUCAUUAAAGCAGGGAUCUGUUCUGUCUUGAGUUCUUGUACAAGAUCAGACAUUAAAACAAAGACAAUCCAGUCAUCUCCAGGAGAUCAUCAGAGUUACAGAGGAGACACCUCACAUCUACAUCUACAACUACAUCUAGAAAUGGAGAUUACAGGAGUGAUGAUCACUUUAAUCAGUCUAACGAUUAUUAUCUGAUUUUACAUAAUACCAUAUCCUUAAAUUCAUUACAGCACUAAUAAAGAGAUGCUUCAGAAAACGAUAUACUCCAGUCAUGAAGCUCAAACAGAAAUUUAACGUAAUUUAAUUAAUAAAAAACGAAAAUAUAAAACAUCCUGGCAUAGUAACUAAAAUUUGGAGGUAAAAUUUAAAUACAACGACAAUAAUAUCAAAAUGUAAAAAUAUAUUUUAUUAAUAAACUGAAAACCUGCUUCAAUUUAGACCUGCUGAUUUAGUUGUUAAAGAACAACAUGUCAAAUAUUUAUUUUGAGAUCAGUAAAAAUUACGAUGUGAAAACAACUUUUAAUAAGUCGUGAUGACGAAAAACAAGAAGAAAAAAUCAUAACCCAAAAUGCGUCAGCAGAAUAUAGCGACAAUAAUAAUAAAACACGCAAUAAAUCUUUAUCAUACACACUUAGCCUACAAUAUAAUCCGAUGAUGUAUCCGAAUCAGAAAAGUGUCAAAUGAAGAGUAUCUCCAGUAAAUAGAUGAAUCCACUCUCAGAAGAUCUACAGCAGCUCUCGUCUG